This 1179-nucleotide long non-coding RNA is filed under the name Brassica rapa (field mustard). RNAcentral describes it as "long non-coding RNA (BRAP_LNC003223)". The record is from RNAcentral. Lineage: Eukaryota; Viridiplantae; Streptophyta; Magnoliopsida; Brassicales; Brassicaceae.
ACCAUACUACUACCAUUCUCCACCACCACCAGUAAAAUCCCCUCCACCUCCUUAUUACUACCACUCACCACCACCACCGGUUAAAUCUCCACCACCACCAUACUACUAUCAUUCACCACCUCCUCUGGUGAAGUCUCCUCCACCACCAUACUAUUACCAUUCACCACCACCUCCAGUAAAAUCUCCUCCCCCCCCAUACUACUAUCACUCCCCACCUCCUCCAGUGAAGUCUCCUCCGCCACCUUACUAUUAUCACUCCCCACCUCCUCCAGUAAAAUCACCACCACCACCAUAUUAUUACCACUCUCCACCUCCUCCCGUGAAAUCCCCCCCACCUCCAUACUACUACCACUCACCACCCCCUCCGGUAAAAUCACCCCCACCACCAUAUUACUAUCACUCCCCACCUCCACCAGUGAAAUCCCCACCACCACCGUACUACUACCAUUCUCCACCCCCACCGGUAAAAUCUCCGCCACCACCAUACUAUUACCACUCCCCACCUCCUCCGGUGAAAUCUCUACCACCACCGUACUAUUACCAUUCACCACCUCCUCCGGUGAAAUCUCCUCCUCCACCAUACUACUAUCACUCACCUCCUCCACCAGUAAAAUCUCCUCCGCCACCGUACUAUUACCACUCUCCACCUCCUCCAGUGAAGUCGCCUCCACCUCCUUAUUACUACCACUCACCUCCUCCUCCGGUGAAAUCCCCACCACCACCAUAUUAUUACCACUCACCACCCCCACCCGUCAAAUCUCCUCCACCUCCAUAUUAUUACCACUCACCACCUCCUCCGGUGAAAUCUCCACCACCACCAUAUUAUUACCACUCACCUCCUCCUCCGGUGAAAUCUCCACCACCACCAUAUUACUACCAUUCACCUCCCCCUCCAGUCAAAUCUCCACCACCACCAUAUUACUACCAUUCACCUCCCCCUCCAGUGAAAUCCCCACCACCACCAUAUUACUACCAUUCACCACCUCCUCCAGUGAAAUCUCCACCACCACCAUACUACUACAACUCUCCACCACCACCAGUAAAAUCUCCCCCACCUCCCGUCUACAUCUACGCUUCUCCCCCACCUCCUACCCAUUACUAGGCUCGUCAAAUUCAACCAAGUUUCCCCAUUAUUCAAGUAAGUCCCAAGGCUCCAAUAUUCUAAGUAUGCUCCAUAUC